UACGGAGGGUGCAAGCGUUGUUCGGAAUUACUGGGCGUAAAGAGCGUGUAGGCGGUUGAUUAAGUCAGGUGUGAAAGACCUUGGCUCAACCAAGGACGUGCAUCUGAAACUGGUCUACUUGAGUACGGGAGAGGAGAGUGGAAUUCCUGGAGGAGAGGUGAAAUUCGUAGAUAUCAGGAGGAACACCGGUGGCGAAGGCGACUCUCUGGACCGAUACUGACGCUGAGACGCGCAAGCGUGGGGAGCAAACAGG
This 253-nucleotide ribosomal RNA is filed under the name uncultured bacterium. Its description in RNAcentral is "partial 16S ribosomal RNA". It matches the Rfam family "Bacterial small subunit ribosomal RNA", at positions 524 to 776 of the family's 1533-position model. The record is from RNAcentral.